GCACCCAAGGGGUGAAGCCUGCGGUUCAAUUGGAGUCAACGCCAGGAAACUUACCAGGAGAGACAGCAGGUUGAGGGUCAAGCUGAAGACUUUACCUGACGAGCUGAGAGGAGGUGCAUGGCCGUCGCCAGCUCGUGCCGUGAGGCGUCCUGUUAAGUCAGGCAACGAGCGAGACCCCUAUUGGUAAUUGCUAACUGUCCAGAGAUGGAUAGAGGCUAGUUACCGAGACUGCCGCUGCUAAAGUGGAGGAAGGAGCGGGCCACGGCAGGUCAGUAUGCCCCGAAUCUCCCGGGCCACACGCGAGCUGCAAUGGCAGGUACAAUGAGUUCCGACCUCGAAAGGGGAAGGCAAUCUCGAAAGCCUGCCGUAGUUGGGAUCGAGGGUUGUAACCCAUCCUCGUGAACAUGGAAUCCCUAGUAAUCGCGUGUCAUUAGCGCGCGGUGAAUACGUCCCUGCUCCUUGCACACACCGCCCGUCGUUCCACCCGAGCGACUCUUGGGUGAGGCGCCCGUCUUUCGUGGCGGCGUCGAAUCUAAGUUUCGUGAGGGGGGAA
This 553-nucleotide ribosomal RNA is filed under the name uncultured archaeon OS-19. RNAcentral's name for it is "bacterial SSU rRNA". It matches the Rfam family "Archaeal small subunit ribosomal RNA", at positions 876 to 1429 of the family's 1478-position model. The record is from RNAcentral.